CCCACCAACACACCUGACUAAUUUUUUGUAUUUUUAGUACAGACGGGGUUUCACCGUGUUAGCCAGGAUGGUCUUGAUCUCCUGACCUCGUGAUCCACCCGCCUCAGCCUCCCAAAGUGUUGGGAUUACAGGUGUGAGCCACCGCACCCGGCUACCUGUCUCCUCAUUCUUAAAAGGUUAGGCUGAGCACUCUCUACAGGCCUGGUCAGCGCGGACAAGGCCAUCCCCGGCUGCCACAGAGCGCUGUCACCCACUUGGAAACCCCACUCACCAGCCACCAACCGGUCACACCAACCAGGACCUUCAGACAGGAUGAAUGGUGGGGCCCAGCAAUGGGACUACUGAGAAAGCAGGACUUGACGCUCAUAUGCUCAAAUGAAACGCAGGACUUCCCAGCCCAGCCCCUCACUGGAGAACACUGCCGAAUCCCAACUCCGGCAGCAGGGCGGUGCCUGUGUCACGAGGACAGGCUCGCGUCUUCAGCCCUGGUGGCAGGAAGCAGUGUUUCUUCCGCACAGCCCUUGCUCCUGCUAGGAAGUGGCACAUCUUCCUGCUCAGGUCACCAGGGUGGUUCAGAAAUGGCAAGGACGAGCGACAGCAAAAGGCCGCAGUCCUCACAGGCAAGAAGGGAUAAAUAAAUAUGAGGUGACCCGUGGCAGCUCUCGCCUGAGCUGGUGUGCCACAACCCUGACCCAACCCUUAAAAAAGAAGAUCAAAAAGCAACAUCCUAAGGAGAAUACGGCCCUACUCUACACGGCCCUUCUGAGAUGAUUAGCAUACAGCAGGUGAUGCAGGCUGCACACUCAGCAGAUUAAGCAGCUGAAAACAGCGAGUGGGUUUCUUCAAAUGAAAGGAAAGAAUUCAGUCCAACUGCAGGAGUGGUAGGAGAGGUUCUAGAUCCCUGGAACCUCAUCACCAGACCUCGGCCCUUUUAGCCAAGUGAUC
Molecule: long non-coding RNA, 945 nt
Filed under: Homo sapiens (human)
Lineage: Eukaryota; Metazoa; Chordata; Mammalia; Primates; Hominidae
Description: HSALNT0013296
Source: RNAcentral